This 1976-nucleotide long non-coding RNA is filed under the name Paramuricea clavata. Lineage: Eukaryota; Metazoa; Cnidaria; Anthozoa; Malacalcyonacea; Plexauridae. The record is from RNAcentral.
CGUAUACCAAUUCAAUAAUAACACAUAUAUUGAUAGAUAUAGAGCGUAAGAUAGUCUUUCGUUUUGAGGUAAAACGAAUUAAUUACAGAUUAUAAUUAUACUAUAUACGCACAGGGGGCAGAAAAGUACGAUUGUGUUUAUUUAAAAUACCUUGUCAUCAACCAAUAUAUCGCAUAGUUUCAUCCAGGUUUCAUCACGAUGAAAAUUAUGUUGAUUUUCGAUAAUAUCAUGUCUACUACUUCAUGUAAUUCAAACAUUGUAUUACAAGGACUGACCAUAGUAGCGUGGGCUCAUACUAGAACGAUUGACUUUGCUUACACGUACAAAUAAUAGAAAGUGAAACCCCCGAUCGCGAAAUAUUUCGAAUGGAUAUAACUGGCGUGUUUCUGAACCAAAACCUUAUAUUUUUUGUAUACAGUUUAGAUAUGAUACACUUAGCAUACCUGUACAAGGAAAUUUUUAGAAACGGUUAUUAUACCGAAAUUUUUGGGACUACAAUUUUGGCUUAUUUUGUUUCAACGUGCACCGCAACAGGUGGUGACGGAAGUGACGUAGUUACGCACUUAAAAGAUAUUGCGCAUGACGAAAACUAUUUUUUCAACUGAUUUAUAUUAUUAAUCAUAUAUAUUAAAUAUAUGACAAGGUCAUACAGUAUUUUUAUGAUUAGUAUACAGUUUCAAAAUAACGCUCAUAUAAAUAUGCUCAUAUAAAUUGAAUUGAAUUGAAUUCUCCUUGAAUUGAAUUGUCACUUAUUGAAAGAAUUGUCACUUAUUUGAUAAUUCAUACAAAGCCUACGAAAUACAAGCCAAAAUGCACCGGUAUUUAUACUACAAAAAGGUCUAUAUUAACCGAAUUAACGAAACCGUUUCAGAGUUUAUUUAAAUUUACUGCCCCAUAAGUGCAUGUAUAGUUUAUUUUUGAAUUUAAAUAGUCUAUUGAUAUAUCUUAAGUCUGCACACACGGCGAAGACGAGUUUAAAUCGUGACCGGGUUUUGUAAAGACUGCCGUUUGGAUUUAUACAGUGCUUUAAUGCUUUAAUGAAAUACUCCUAAAACAGUAUUAUACUACACUAGGAGGAGUUUAUAUACUGAAAAACUAGAUAUUUAUUUACAAGAAAUUAGUCUUCAUAAUCACUGUAUGACACAUAUAUUAGGCAGUGAUUAUAGAAUGAUGUUGUUAUUACCUCGGGUCGGUACGACACCGAGGUCAUAAAUUCGGCUCCUAUUUUUUUUUUAAUUUUUUUUUUAUUGUUUUUCAUUUGUGUCGAGCCGCGCACGUAGUCGAAGGAGCCUGAGGAGGAGAUGACAACUUCCGGUAAAUAAGUGUACUUCCGGAUUAUUUCAAGCAUCGGCCAAAGCGAAACGGAACCCGAAGCUGUCCUUGCACAAAAUCCGUCAAAAAUUUUUAUUUAAAACCAGAAGAUGUGAUAAUGUUGACAUAGAUGUUUAGCUGGAUAACUAUUCUCGAGUAUAUGUUGAUAUAAUGCACAAUACUUCGUAUGCAUAGCAUGGGAAUACCGCGGCCAACUUUCACUUGUUAUCUAUUAUAAUUACUGACCCGAAUCAAAAGUAAUUAUUUUCGGCUGGAAGACUACUGUACUUUGCUGCUUGUCGGGACCGUAUGACAAUGAACCUAUCCAACGUUACACUAGACAUUUGUGAGGACAUGCAUAUAGACAUAACUAUAGGCACUGUAGUGCAUUGUGAUAGAACAGAUUUCAGUUUAAUUAAUCGCCCUAAAUUAAAAUCUCCACAAGCGGAGGUCAAUUAUAGUGUUCUAGUUUACAUAUUAUCAUUAAUGAUAAGGUUUACUCAAAUAGCGUAUUGGAUAAACACGGGAAUAGAACUGAUGGUGUAUUCUGCACAUGCGUAUAUCUAGGAUAAAAUCCCACAAGCGCAAACGAAACUAUUUCUCUAUAAAAUUGAACUGAAAAGACUCACAGCGACCGUUUCCAACAGUGCUUCAGGCACCCGACG